GGGCGGCUCCGUGAAAAAAAAAAAAAAAAAAAAAAAAAAAAAAAAGCAGUGAUCUCGGUGUGACAGCUCAGAGCUGUCCACGUCAACACACCGAGCGAGCGGCGGCGGCAGCAGCGAUGGACUCCUCGUCUCUGGAACUUUCCCUCUACACGGUGAAAGCUGUCCUGAUUCUCGACAAUGACGGCAACAGACUUCUGUCAAAGUACUACGACCCUGAGCUUUACCCCUCGAUGAAGGAGCAGAACAACUUUGAGAGGAACGUUUUCAACAAGACACACAAAGCGGACAAUGAGAUAGCUUUCCUGGAGGGGAUGACCAUUGUUUAUAAGAGCAGCAUAGAUCUCUUCUUCUAUGUGGUGGGAAGUGCUCAGGAAAAUGAGUUGAUGCUGAUGUCGGUACUCAACUGUCUCUUCGAUUCCCUCAGUCACAUCCUCAGGAAAAACGUCGAGCGCAGGUGUUUACUGGACAACAUGGAAGGAGUGUUCCUCGUUGUGGACGAGAUCAUUGAUGGAGGGGUGAUUCUAGAGUGUGACCCUCAGCAGGUCCUACAGAAGGUCAACUACAGGCAAAUGUCAGAGCCAGCCUAUGGCUUCGUCCUGUUUGAUUACAUCACCGGUAACCUAGAGGCACAAACAGACAGGAGCCAGCUGCUGUAGAAAGACAGACAGACAAACACAGGCAGACACGCAGACAGACCGAGGGCUGAUGAAAACCCAUUAACUGAGCAAAGUGUGGCCCAGGUCCUGCAGUCGGCCAAGGAGCAGAUCAAGUGGUCCAUACUAAAAUGACCCACAGCAGGAAAAAAAAGCAUUAAGAUUCUCAAGAAAGCUCGAGGGAAUCUCUGUCUAGUCCCAAAGCUAUUUUUAUAGGGUGGAAUUAAAGGGGAAGGUUGCACAGGCCUGUCAGCCAGUAGACUGCCAUAUAUUGCAAUUAGCCAGGCAGAGAUGGGAUUUUUCUGGAUUCUCUGUCUGAUGCCGUUUUGUAACAUUGUGUGUGACAUAUAUUUAAUUUAUUCAGUUGUGUAGAGAUGUUAUUUAACAGGCCAAAUGACCACCCAGCACACAUCGUUAAAGGGAUGACAAUAGGAGUACUGGGAAUGUCAGUGGACAAAUUAAAUGAAGUAUGAGUUUUUUUGGGAGCAUAAAUUUACAUAAAACGCAUGGGGUUUACUUGCGUUACUUUGCACAUUGGUGACAUGCAAAAGUUUAAAAUUGCACCAUUUUAUACAUGAAAAACAACCCCCCUCCCCACCCCCCCCCAAAAAGUAAUAUGAUUGAGUAAUAACAAUAAUAAUGAGUAAUAAUAAUGAUAUUAACUUUAUAUUUCUGGGUUUUAUAAUGCUUAUUUAAAGACUAUAAAGGAAUGUAUUGAUACACUAAACAAAUGUUAGCGGUAUGUGUGAGAGGUGCUGUGUUACUGUUGCACUGUAUAACAUGCGCAAAAGAAGAUAAGAUUCUCCUCAUUUAGGUAAAUGAAUAUAUGUACAUAUACAUGUAUUUAAGAGUCAACGGGAGCUUAAAUAAAGUGAAAAACUGCACAGAUGACUUUGUGGCCAGGGUUAGAAAUAAUAAUGUCUAUUUUACUGUUAUUUUGAGGAUUAGAGAUGUGGAUAUUUUCUUAAUUUAAAAAGAUAAAACCAGCCAAAAAGAUACUAAUUAUUUUUCUGUACAUUUUGAUGUUGCUGAAACAAACGUGUAUUUAGCCAUUUGUGAAACUGACAAUAAAACAUGUCUAAAUGCAAAUGUG
Molecule: RNA transcript, 1746 nt
Organism: Mugil cephalus (flathead mullet)
Lineage: Eukaryota; Metazoa; Chordata; Actinopteri; Mugiliformes; Mugilidae
Gene: copz2
Gene name: COPI coat complex subunit zeta 2
Exons: 10
Source: RefSeq, a predicted model, not a curated record